Molecule: long non-coding RNA, 807 nt
Filed under: Pan troglodytes (chimpanzee)
Lineage: Eukaryota; Metazoa; Chordata; Mammalia; Primates; Hominidae
Description: long non-coding RNA NONPTRT004254
Source: RNAcentral
AUGGGCAUCCCACCCCAGCACUUUCUAGGAAGGAGGGCAGCAUUUUGAAGGGCUGGAAGUAGAGGAAGGAGGUUGCGGGUAGAAGACUCCAUACUUUCUGUGAUGCCUAUUCCUUAGGAAUCAAGGCUAUCUGUAAUCACAGGGCUAUUUGAAAAAGAGAAGAAAAGGUGUCUUGAAAUUCAACCAACAUGUUUCAAUUAUUUGCUCCUAAGAACAACAGAAGUUUCAACAUUCUGCCAACAAAGUAACUCCUGGAAGAUUGGCACAGAAGAAGGCACAAGGAGAGCCUUUAUAUAACCAAAGAUAUUUUUGGACCAUGAAUUCGGAAAUUCUCGGAGCCACCCAUCAGUGCCUGAGCUUCAGUGAGUCCAUAUCCCAUGUCACCCACGGCAAAGGAGAAUCUAAGACUUCUGAAGAGUUUCUUGCUUCUUUCCUGUGGGGCAGUGACUCCACUUCCCAGCAGUAAUGGAAUAUCCUGAAUUAGCUACAUUAAUGUUAGAACCAUUUGGACCUCACCCAGGACUUCAACUACAUUAUGGUUCUAGUAUGUUAGGUUUAUGUUCCCCUGCUUUCUACAAUCCUGUUCAAAGAGUUGCUGACUUAACCACAGAGAGGAUUCCAGAACAUGAGACACAGAAUAAACUUGAGCAAUCAUAGUCCAUCCACUUCAUUUUCUCAUCAAAAACCAAAGGUCCAGUGAAGCUCUGGAACUCAACGCUGUAAAGGAGCGAAGGAGCUUCUAUACAGAGCCUGGAUGCCUGUCUCCUUAUCCUACUUCAGUGGACUUGACUGCAAUCCGGACUAUGC